AUGACACCUAAGUUUGUUUGUGUCAAAUCUUUUAUGGAUAUCGAUGCUUUCCGUGAAUUUAGCACUAAAUAUGGACUUGACUCUGAGAUAGUAGCUUCUUUCUGUGAAUCCUUUGCUACUCAUGUUGAUCUCCCUAAGGAUAAGUGGUUUAAAUAUAAUCCUCCCAUUGAAGCAAAAGUAGUUGCACCUAUUAAAGUUGAAGAAAAGACUAUCACUUAUGAUGAUCCUAUUGUUCCUACUGCUUAUGUUGAGAAACCUCCUUUCCCAAUUAGAAUAAAGGAUCACGCUAAAGCUUCAACUGUAGUCAACAAGAGUAAUAUUAGGACACACAAACCCCCUGAGCAAAUUAAAGUUGAACCUAAUAUUGCUAUGGUUAAAGAUCUUUUGGCCGAUAAUAUUGAUGGGCGUGUUAUUUAUUUCUGUGAAGAAACUGCUAGAAUUGCUAAGCCUGGUGCUAAAGAUAAACAUAGACCUGUUAUAGGCAUGCAUGUUAUUUCUGUUAAAAUAGGAGAUCAUUGUUAUCAUGGCUUAUGUGAUAUGGGUGUUAGUGCUAGUGCAAUACCUCAUUUAUUAUACGAAGAAAUUAUGCAUGAUAUUGCACCUGCUGACAUAGAAGAUAUCGACGUUACAAUUAAGCUUGCUAAUAGAGAUACUAUUUCACCGAUUGGGAUUGUUAGAGAUGUUGAAGUCUUGUGUGGGAAGGUUAAAUAUCCUGCUGAUUUUCUUGUUCUUGGUUCCCCACAAGAUAGCUUUUGUCCCAUUAUAUUUGGUAGGCCCUUCUUAAAUACUAUUAAUGCUAGGAUAGGCUGCGAAAAGGAUGUUGUUACUAUUGGUUUGGGUGAUAUGUCUCAUGAGUUUAAUUUCUCUAAAUUUCAUAGACAACCCCGUGAUGAGGAAUUACCUAGUACGGAUGAAAUUAUUGGUCUUGCUUCUAUUGUUGUGCCUCCUAAUGAUCCUUUAGAACAAUAUUUGCUCGACCAUGAAAAUGAUAUGUUUAUGAAUGAAAGAAGGGAAAUAGACGAAGUAUUCUUUAAACAGGGACCUAUUCUGAAACACAACUUGCCUAUUGAAAUCCUAGGGGAUCCUCCUCCACCCAAGGGUGAUCCCGUGUUUGAGCUUAAACCUUUACCUGAUACUCUUAAAUAUGCUUAUCUUGAUGAAAACAAGAUAUAUCCUGUUAUUAUUAGUGCUAACCUUUCAGAGCAUGAAGAAAAGAAAUUAUUCAAAACUCUGAAUAAGCACCGUGCUGUUAUUGGAUAUACUCUUGAUGACCUUAAGGGCAUUAGUCCCACUCUACAAAAUAAAUUUGGAGAAAGAUGCCAAACCAGUUAUUGA
RNAcentral lists this ribosomal RNA (1335 nucleotides) under Triticum aestivum (bread wheat). RNAcentral's name for it is "partial small subunit ribosomal RNA". The record is from RNAcentral. Lineage: Eukaryota; Viridiplantae; Streptophyta; Magnoliopsida; Poales; Poaceae.